Molecule: ribosomal RNA, 557 nt
Filed under: uncultured bacterium
Lineage: Bacteria
Description: bacterial SSU rRNA
Rfam family: Bacterial small subunit ribosomal RNA
Source: RNAcentral
ACGGGUGAGUAACGCGUGGGAACGUGCCCUUCGGUUCGGAAUAACUCAGGGAAACUUGAGCUAAUACCGGAUACGCCCUUAUGGGGAAAGGUUUACUGCCGAAGGAUCGGCCCGCGUCUGAUUAGCUAGUUGGUGAGGUUACGGCUCACCAAGGCGACGAUCAGUAGCUGGUCUGAGAGGAUGAUCAGCCACACUGGGACUGAGACACGGCCCAGACUCCUACGGGAGGCAGCAGUGGGGAAUAUUGGACAAUGGGGGCAACCCUGAUCCAGCCAUGCCGCGUGAGUGAUGACGGCCUUAGGGUUGUAAAGCUCUUUUCUCCGGGACGAUAAUGACGGUACCGGAGGAAUAAGCCCCGGCUAACUUCGUGCCAGCAGCCGCGGUAAUACGAAGGGGGCUAGCGUUGCUCGGAAUCACUGGGCGUAAAGGGCGCGUAGGCGGCUGAUUUAGUCGAGGGUGAAAGCCCGUGGCUCAACCACGGAAUGGCCUUCGAUACUGAUUGGCUUGAGACCGGAAGAGGACAGCGGAACUGCGAGUGUAGAGGUGAAAUUCGUAGA